GGCAGUUCUCGGGUGACAUACCCCAGAACCAGGCUCCCUCCUCUCUGGUUCAGGGUGUGUCCUCGAGAACCCCA
Non-coding RNA from Myotis davidii, 74 nucleotides. The record is from Rfam. NCBI's taxonomy places the organism in Eukaryota, Metazoa, Chordata, Mammalia, Chiroptera, Vespertilionidae.